Molecule: ribosomal RNA, 274 nt
Filed under: uncultured bacterium
Lineage: Bacteria
Description: partial 16S ribosomal RNA
Rfam family: Bacterial small subunit ribosomal RNA
Source: RNAcentral
AUACGAGGGGUGCAAGCGUUAAUCGGAAUUACUGGGCGUAAAGCGCGCGCAGGCGGGCUGAUAAGUUGGAUGUGAAAGCCUACGGCUCAACCGUAGAACUGCAUCCAAAACUGUCAGUCUAGAGUGUGGGAGAGGAAGAUGGAAUUAGUUGUGUAGGGGUAAAAUCCGUAGAGAUAACUAGGAAUACCAAAAGCGAAGGCAAUCUUCUGGAACACUACUGACGCUGAGGCGCGAAGGCGUGGGGAGCAAACAGGAUUAGAAACCCCAGUAGUCC